Molecule: long non-coding RNA, 318 nt
Filed under: Androctonus crassicauda
Lineage: Eukaryota; Metazoa; Arthropoda; Arachnida; Scorpiones; Buthidae
Source: RNAcentral
GGCAUCCUCCUUGGGUUCUUCUGGGCGCUGUUGUAGUGUCCUGGUGGUCACUCCUGUGUGGGCGGCCUGGGUGUUUCGCGGCGGAUGUUUGGGUGGUGCGGUGUGGACCCCGGAUUUUUCGGCUUCUUUUCUCCGGUCCUUCUCGUUGCGGAGCGGGUUGGGGGGCGAUGGUGGUCUCUUCGGUGCGGCUUUCUUUCCGGAGUUGCGGGGGACUUGUUGUGUAGUGGCCGAUUUGGUCGUGGUGUGGGGUAUUGCGGCGGGGGAGUCUUGCUGCGGUCCGUGCUGGUGUCCAAUCGGAGGGGCGUCAUUCAUAGCGGC